RNAcentral lists this transfer RNA (72 nucleotides) under Ipomoea nil (Japanese morning glory). It matches the Rfam family "tRNA". From Rfam's summary of the family: Transfer RNA (tRNA) molecules are approximately 80 nucleotides in length. Their secondary structure includes four short double-helical elements and three loops (D, anti-codon, and T loops). The record is from Rfam by way of RNAcentral. Lineage: Eukaryota; Viridiplantae; Streptophyta; Magnoliopsida; Solanales; Convolvulaceae.
GGUCUCAUGGUCUAGUGGUUAGGACAUUGGACUUUGAAUCCAAUAACUUGAGUUCAAAUCUUGGUGGGACCU